This 503-nucleotide ribosomal RNA is filed under the name uncultured bacterium. Its description in RNAcentral is "bacterial SSU rRNA". It matches the Rfam family "Bacterial small subunit ribosomal RNA", at positions 9 to 507 of the family's 1533-position model. The record is from RNAcentral.
GAAUUUGAUCCUGGCUCAGAUUGAACGCUGGCGGCAGGCCUAACACAUGCAAGUCGAGCGGUAGAGAGAAGCUUGCUUCUCUUGAGAGCGGCGGACGGGUGAGUAAUGCCUAGGAAUCUGCCUGGUAGUGGGGGAUAACGCUCGGAAACGGACGCUAAUACCGCAUACGUCCUACGGGAGAAAGCAGGGGACCUUCGGGCCUUGCGCUAUCAGAUGAGCCUAGGUCGGAUUAGCUAGUUGGUGAGGUAAUGGCUCACCAAGGCGACGAUCCGUAACUGGUCUGAGAGGAUGAUCAGUCACACUGGAACUGAGACACGGUCCAGACUCCUACGGGAGGCAGCAGUGGGGAAUAUUGGACAAUGGGCGAAAGCCUGAUCCAGCCAUGCCGCGUGUGUGAAGAAGGUCUUCGGAUUGUAAAGCACUUUAAGUUGGGAGGAAGGGCAGUAAAUUAAUACUUUGCUGUUUUGACGUUACCGACAGAAUAAGCACCGGCUAACUCUGUG